UACGUAGGAGGCAAGCGUUGUCCGGAAUUACUGGGUGUAAAGCGCGUGUAGGCGGCAGGCCAAGUCUGUGGUGAAAUCGCUCGGCUCAACUGGGCGGGGUCCAUGGAAACUGGUCAGCUGGGGGACGGUAGAGGUGAGUGGAAUUCCCGGUGUAGUGGUGAAAUGCGUAGAGAUCGGGAGGAACACCCGUGGCGAAGGCGGCUCACUGGGCCGGUCCUGACGCUGAGACGCGAAGGCGUGGGGAGCGAACGGG
This 253-nucleotide ribosomal RNA is filed under the name uncultured bacterium. Its description in RNAcentral is "partial 16S ribosomal RNA". It matches the Rfam family "Bacterial small subunit ribosomal RNA", at positions 524 to 776 of the family's 1533-position model. The record is from RNAcentral.